Molecule: long non-coding RNA, 772 nt
Organism: Tarenaya hassleriana
Lineage: Eukaryota; Viridiplantae; Streptophyta; Magnoliopsida; Brassicales; Cleomaceae
Exons: 2
Source: RefSeq, a predicted model, not a curated record
CUCUCAUCCAUUAUUCUCCUGCUAUAUAUAUAUAUAUAAAAUCCUCGAAACCAUGGAUCCAAAACAAAACCCUAGCUCCUCAAUCUCAUUCAUUCUCCUAACGUUUUAUUUCAAUUAAAAAGGUAAGCAUCUUUCUUUUCGAUCUCUUUUCAAGAAAAACAGAGGUUUUCUCGAGUAAGCUUUUCUCUCAAGAGUAGUUUUUUUUAAAUUGGAUCUAUUUUGUAUAGAGCAAACACAAAACAAAGAAAAGAAACCGGAGCAAUGGACGAUAAACCCCGAACUCUUCUAAAUACUCUCUUCUGGUGGCUUGAAACAGAUGUGUAUUGCAUUGUCAUGCACGUGCUGCUGGUGGUAGCCUAUGUGUCAUCGGCGUGCUUUAUAGUAAUGCAUGGGCUGCUGACGACAGACGAGGCACGUUUCGAUUUCAUCAAGAAUUGCAUCUUUGCCUCGUGUAUGUACCUUUUUGCCAUCUCGGUGGAAGCCGUGACGAUAUGGGGCAGAUGGCCCUUUGAUGCGUCGUUUGCACAUCCCUUGUUCGGUUGCACGGCCCACUUCGCUGCCUUCGUCUACCUCGUCCCCAACUUCGAUUAUAUCUCUCCAACCGCUGCUUCGGUUUUGUAUAUCCUCGUUUGGGCAUACUUUGUACCAUGUCUUUUCAUCUCUUUUUUUUUUGUCCUUUCCACUGCUCUUGCUUUGGAUGCUCAUGAAAAUCCCACGGGAGCGGUUUGAUGUAAGAGGAUAUUGUUGGAGUGUUAAUUUUCCUAGUUUUUCA